UGCGUAGGCGGCAUGGUAAGUCAGAUGUGAAAUCCCGGGGCUCAACCCCGGAACUGCAUCCGAUACUGCUGUGCUAGAGGACUGGAGAGGAGACUGGAAUUCUCGGUGUAGCAGUGAAAUGCGUAGAGAUCGAGAGGAACACUCGUGGCGAAGGCGAGUCUCUGGACAGUUCCUGACGCUGAGGCACGAAGGCCGGGGUAGCGAAAG
RNAcentral lists this ribosomal RNA (207 nucleotides) under uncultured bacterium. Its description in RNAcentral is "partial 16S ribosomal RNA". It matches the Rfam family "Bacterial small subunit ribosomal RNA", at positions 568 to 774 of the family's 1533-position model. The record is from RNAcentral.